Molecule: ribosomal RNA, 387 nt
Filed under: uncultured bacterium
Lineage: Bacteria
Description: partial 16S ribosomal RNA
Rfam family: Bacterial small subunit ribosomal RNA
Source: RNAcentral
UGGGGAAUUUUGGAUCAAUGGGCGAAAGCCUGAUCCAGCAAUGCCGCGUGUGUGAAGAAGGCCUUCGGGUUGUAAAGCACUUUUGUCCGGAAAGAAAUCCUUGGCUCUAAUACAGUCGGGGGAGUGACGGUACCGGAAGAAUAAGCACCGGCUAACUACGUGCCAGCAGCCGCGGUAAUACGUAGGGUGCAAGCGUUAAUCGGAAUUACUGGGCGUAAAGCGUGCGCAGGCGGUUUGCUAAGACCGAUGUGAAAAUCCCCGGGCGUCACCUGGGAACUGGCAUUGGUGAUGCUGGCAGGCUAGAGUAUGGCAGAGGGGGUGAGAAUUCCACGUGUAGCAGUGAAAUGCGUAGAGAUGUGGAGGAAUACCGAUGGCGAAGGCAGCCCC